This 423-nucleotide long non-coding RNA is filed under the name Capsicum annuum. RNAcentral's name for it is "long non-coding RNA (CANN_LNC014505)". Lineage: Eukaryota; Viridiplantae; Streptophyta; Magnoliopsida; Solanales; Solanaceae. The record is from RNAcentral.
UUAAGAGCGCGAAUCUCAAAUAUUUUAUUGCCACAAAAAUACUAUGACCUAAUUAAGAUCAUAUAUUUUAACAAUGUUUCCUAUUUUUAUUAAACUUUGUGUAAGGUCAAAGUAAGACUUUCAAAGUGGAAGAGAUGAAUGAGAGGUUCACAAGGAAAGGCUGUAUCAAUACCAUAUAUGUAUCCAUUUGUAUUUGAUACGAUAUCUUUUUCCCUAUACAUCGAAUAUCGAAUUUCUGGAUCUUAUUUAGUUCGGUUGGAAUGAUUCAACAUAUACACCAAUUAUGCACCACUAAUUAAUACUAGCCAGUUGGAUUUUUCCUACUCAUGUGUUAAUUAAUUAUGUUGCUAAAAUUGAGAUGUAAUUCAGCAUAACAAGAAUCCACGAGCUGUUCCGCAGCUACACUUUCAGAGGACAUGGGGC